GUGACCAGCUGGAACAUUAAAGGAGUUUAACCUCUGUACUUCCAAUGGGGAGGAAUUGGAAUCAGCCUAUGGGAGAAGAGAUAGCUCUAGGAUUCUGUGUGGGAACUUGAAGAGAUAAAAGGGCAUCCUUGAAAGAGAACCUCGUGCUUUGCAUCUCAACUGCCUCUGACACAAGUUUCCACACAGGUCCAAGCCGCAAAACAAUACCGUCUCACAACAGAGCAGAGCUUUACAGCUUAUAAAACAUUCUGGGAAUAUUAGAAUAUUAACACAUGAAGAUUUUUGGGUCCUUCAGCACGUUAGAUAUGACCUGGGACAUAGAGGACUCUUAAGAAAAGAGAAAUUGGGCAUCCACAUGUGGAAAAAAAAACUCAAUCUCAACCUCAAGCCUUAGACAAAACUCACAGUGGAUCACAGAUCUGAAUGGAAAAUGUAAGGCUACAACACUUUCAGAAGACAUAGGGAGAGAAUCUUUGUUACCCUGGGUUAU
RNAcentral lists this long non-coding RNA (490 nucleotides) under Homo sapiens (human). RNAcentral describes it as "HSALNT0407254". The record is from RNAcentral. Lineage: Eukaryota; Metazoa; Chordata; Mammalia; Primates; Hominidae.